UUCUCUAUAAUGAUAUCAUUUGGGCUCUAAAUUUUAGGAAGAGAAGGCAGGGAGAAACGAAAAGAGGGUCAGAGCUGAGUGCAGAUAAAUUGCCACAUUUAUGGGUCAAAUAGAAGAGGGGAAGCUGACAAAAGCAGCCAAGAAGGAGCUAGGGAGAAAAGAAAGUCUGGGAUGCCACAGGAGACAAGCGAUGAGACCGUUUCAGGACCGAGAAGGUGUCUCUAUCAAAUUCUGCUGAGAAGUCAAGUACAUAAAGACUGAAAUGAGUAUUGGAUUAACAACAUGGCGGGCAUGGGGUCCUUUCUAAGGGCAGUUUGGGUGGAGCAGUGUGGAUAGAAGGCAAGUUGUAGUACGUAAAAAAACAAAUGGAAGAUAGGAAUGGAAAAUAAUAUGUGAAGACAAUUGUUCCAAGAAGUUUUAUUGAUGAGAGAGAGAAAACUAGAGCAAUAGCUAGAAGAGAACACGGGGUUAAAGAGGAUAUUUUAGAGCUGUGUGAUAUGAAGUGUGUCUAUGUAUAGAUGUGAACAAUGGAUUGACGGGUGGGAUGGGGAGAAAUAACAAUAGAAGGAAUUGAAGAUGAAUAGAGAAAGAAGAGGAAGGGAAAGAACAAGUAGGAAAGUGGUGACACUCAGAGAAUGGAGCCAAGAAGACUUUGAAGCCCACAGCCAGAGCAGCCCCUAGCCAUGCCCAGAUCAAGACGGGCCAGGAGGCUCCUUUGCAACCCACGGGGCAGAGAGGAGCUGCUAGCUGCUGCUUGUGGACGGGGAAGCCGUCGCUCUGGCUAAGCGGUUAAUCAGUCAGUUGGUAGCCAGAUCCUGGCCCCUGGCCAGUCACAUAUUAGAAGCAGAGUAAUGAGUCUUCUGGCAGGCGUUGUUGAAGAGGAAGGCCGGUGUGGAACCAUGCAGAGGAGCAGACUGGGGCUCCUGGAUCUAAGCAUGAUCAAGAGUCCCGGAGAGGGCAUCUGCUACAAGACACAAAAAUAACCAUCCAGUGUCCUCGCCCAACCUCCCCUAGACCAGUGCUUUUCCAGCCUUCAUGUGCAAGAGAAUGACUAGGGGAUUGUGUUAAAAUGCAAAUUCCGAGUCCACAGAUCCAGGGCGGGGCCUGAGAGUCAGCAUUUCUAAAAGCUCCAGCGUGAUGCUGAGGCUGCUGUUGCUCUGACGGUGCUCUGAAUAGCAAACCCCGGUGGGGGUUAAGAUCUCACUCCCCUGAAAAAUACAUAUAAGCUCAUACACACAAGCCCUUCAUACCCUAUGGGAGUCACAUAGUCAUGAGAGGCCAUUCCCUUGUGGUUUGACCCCCCAGGAGAGUGACCCCUGCCCCACAUACUGUUGUCAAA
This 1339-nucleotide long non-coding RNA is filed under the name Equus caballus (horse). RNAcentral describes it as "lncRNA (ENSECAG00000045631.1)". Lineage: Eukaryota; Metazoa; Chordata; Mammalia; Perissodactyla; Equidae. The record is from RNAcentral.